CGGCCGCCUGAGCGACGGCCGCGGUGGCCACUGAGGAGCGGGGUCCGCCCCCGGCGGGGAGCCCGGGCGGGGCCUGCCCGCCGUGGCGCCGGGGUCCCUUCCCGGGAUGCCGGCAGGCGCGGCGGGCCGGGGUGCCCCGGCCUCGGCGUCCUCCCGGCGGGGCGGGCUCCGAGGCGUCCGCCCCGCCGCUGCUUCCUCAGACUGGCGGCCGCCGGCUCUGGCCCCGAGCGGGGGCCGGGGAGGAAGCGCCCGUUCGGAGGGCGACAGGCGGCUGGCAGACCCGCCGGGUGCGGGGAAGGCUGGCGGAACGUGGCGGCUCUCCCAGGCGGAGGGGAUCCAGUAGAUGGAGUGAAGCAGCAGGUGCACGUGCUGGUGAGUCAUGUUGGCAGCGGGCUUCUGGUCCCCUCCGGCUGGAAAGAGCUGUGAGUACGUCCCAGAUAUAUCCCAGAGUGCAGAGAGCAUUUGAAUUCCGAGUGUGCUGAGCGAAGGAAAAGCGGAGGCUACAUGAAUGACAUGCUUGGACCGCAAGAGGGAGAGCGAAGCCUGCUCACUAGAUGAAUGUUUCUUUCAGUUUGUUUUGUGGGUUGACAUUUUCUUUGGCCCCAGAUAAUAAAAACGCUUUGCCAUCACACAGCUCUCAAUAUUCAUACAUGAAGAGGCAUGAAAAAUACUCUGGAAGAAGGAACAGGGAUACUCCAGAUUUUCUCUCAACUGCCUUUAUCUGUAAAGUAUGUAGAGGUGGCUACAGUCUGUGUUCAGUUACCGAAGGGAAUAAAAUUACCAGUGGAACAAUUGGGACGCAUAGAACAAAAUACAACUGUGUUUUGUAGUUAGAAUGCAAGGGGCAGAGCCAUAGAUCUUCCAGGCAAAGGCACAGAAAGCUACUGUACACAUAAGCAUGAUCUCAGGGAGAGAGUUGUUUCUCCUUGCUGUUGUCACUGGUGGAAUCCAAGAUGAACUCUUGCAAAUAUGUGCAGAAAAUGCAAAAAACUGGUACACAGUACAUUGUAGAAGCGAAUUGCAAGAUGGGUAUUCGCACCUUGGAAUGAUCAUAUGUUAGCUGGCUCACUACAGAAGUGAACCAAAGGCAAAACAUCAUGAAAUAUUUGCCACUCCAAUGUGGACUGUAAAUAUUCUCCUCUAGGUUUGGGCUGAAGAUACAUGUGCUGUGUGGUUUUUACUGUUCACAACUGACUUUAAUGCAAGAAAGUAGGUUCUAAGCUUAUGGUUGUCUUAUUAAACAAUAACCUCAUUUGUUCUGAAGUGUUACAAACACUCUAUUGUAAAACAUCUACUCUAGACUGUGGAAGCUAAUUCAAAAACUGGUAGUAGCUCCAUUUUAGAGAUGACCAAGUGGUUAUCAAACCUGCAACUAGAAUGUAAAAUUUGGGGUUUAUGAGAAUUUCCUGUGUAUGCAGAACAUGAUUCUGACAUGCUGGAUCAGAAUCUUACCCCCAACAUGACAAAUGGAGCUUUUUCUGGUCCUCUCUCACAUAGAUAAACAUUGCAGCCAUUCAACUUUAGGUAUUUCAGACUGGUAUGUGUGUCUACAAUUGGAAAAUAUAUUCCAGAAAACAUCUAGUGAUUCUAAAAUCUUAAACUAUAUAAUGUCUUCUGUAAGUUCAUUUCUGUGUGGAUUCUUUGAAAGGACAAUGUAUGUAUUUGAGGCUUGCAAGAGAGAAAAAGUUCCUAUUACAUUUUUUUUUUACUCGUUACAAAACUGUGAUAGAAAUAAAUACAUCAUCUUCAGGUGCUGUUCAAACUAAUUAAAAAGCUUCUUGAUAAUAUUUGACAAAAAAAACCCCAGCUUUAAAGGUUUUAUUUAAGCAGAGGAGGGGGAGAAAGAUCAUUCCUGUUCAGUUCAUGUUAUUACUAUGGCAUGUCUUAAAAUGUUGCUCUUUCAAGGCUGUGGUUUGUCUUUCAGCAAUACAAAAAUGGCAUCUUGCCUAAAUAGCCUCUAGUACUUGUGCUUUGGUGCCUAUGAAUGGAAGAAUCUAUCGUUACUUCUGUUGCUAGUAAAGGCUUUUUCUACGUAGGAAAAAUGUAGCUUGCUGAGAAGAUCCAUGGCUUCCCUUUAAAAGCACAACGUCUUUUUAAUUGUUUGGCGCCACGAAGUGGUAAAAUUCUAUAUUGCUCUAAAUACUCAAUUUCUGAGAGUUUACAAAUGAUAAGCUCAUAAUUUUAGACAAUAUUAAUAAUAGAAAAUAUUCUACUUACUGGAUAUAGGCAUAGCUCAAGACUAGGAUUUACUGCUUAAACAUCAAAGUUUCCAACAUUGUAGAUUAGAAUUUUUCCUUUGAAAGGGAUUUUCACUGGUGGAUAUUGAUUUGUCAAAACUGUGAAGCCUGUGAACAUAAAUCCAGUGCUUAGAAAAAACCUUCUGAUGAGUUGCAGGACCAUGCAGAGACAUGGCAGUAAAGAUGACUGUACCCACUCAGAGCUGGGGCCAUCCAGCCUGGGGUCCAGUUGCUUGACUGUUGCCCUCAGACAGUGCCCAGGGAAGCCAGAAUACUGUCCUAGUCUCCAGUUGCUUUGUCAUUUGGGGACUUUGUGAGCCAGUUUUGUGUUUUGAAACUUUUUUUUUUUCUUCCAUGAGUUAGCCCAGCUGUAAUUUUCAAGAUCCAAAAUGUCCUUGGAUGAGGAGCUCCAUGGUUUAAGUAAUUCACAGAAUCACAGAAUGUUAGGGAUUGGAAGGGACCUUGAAAGAUCAUCUAGUCCAAUCCCCCUGUCAGAGCAGGAACACCCAGAUGAGGUUUCACAGGAAUGUGUCCAGGCAGGUUUUGAAUGUCUCCAGAGAAGGGGACUCCACAACCCCCUGGGCAGCCUGUUCCAGUGUUUUGUUACCCUCACUGAGAAGAAGUUUCUUCUCAAGUUUAAGUGGAACCUCCUGUGUUCCAGUUUGAACCCAUUAACCCUUGUCUUACCAUUGGUUGUCACCAAGAAGAGCCUGGCUCCAUCCUUGUGACACUCACCCUUUACAUAUUUAUAAACAUUAAUGAGGUCACCCCUCAGUCUCCUCUCCUCCAAGCUAAAGAGCCCCAGCUCCGUCAGCCUUUCCUCAUACGGGAGAUGCUCCACUCCCUUAAUCAUCUUUGUUGCCCUACGCUGGACCCUCUCCAGCAGUUCCCUGUCCUUCUGGAACUGAGGGGCCCAGAACUGGACAAAAUAUUCCAGAUGCGGUCUCACCAGGGCAGAGUAGAGCGGUUGGAGAACCUCUCUCGACCUAAUUCAUUUAGUUCUGGACUUGCCAUCUGCUUGUUUCAUUUGAUGCCUUUUAGUUUUUGUAGAUACAGUGAGAAAUUAUUUUAUAAAUUUCUGUCAUAUUCCAUUUCAGUAGUUUCUCUGUGAGAGUGAAGUUACCUACUCUCUUUAAUGGUUUCACAGGGAAGCCCCUCCUCUAUCUUUAGCCAUCCUUCUUACCCUACCUCACACCUCUGGCAGCACUACUACAAUCUUUUGUGUAGGGAUGUGUAGGGAUGGACACUGCAGACAGUGCUCAAGGUGUAGGUGUAUUUAUGCAGUGCCAUAGCAAUGCUUUCUAUUUUGUUUUUUAUUCUCUCCAUAGCAAUUUCUAGCACUGUGAUUGCUUUUUUGGUGUCUGCAAGAUCUCUGGCACAUAGCAGAGCACAGCGUAGCCAUGACACCAGUAACACACAGGUCUGUGAAUUACAGAAAAUGAGCUGGAAUACAAAGAGUUGGAACCCUGAAAAGGGUUCCCCUGAAAUUGGGGAACCUGUAGGGAGAGGAUCACACUGCAUGUAAAAUGUGCAGGUAUUGAACUGAAGUCAAGGAACUGGAGAUUAAGCUUAGCUUGUUGGAGACUUCGCUUACACUAAGUGAGGAUGCGUUGUCUGAUUUGGCUGGAAGGUUAAAUCACAUAUGAGCAUUCAGUCUAUCUUGGACCUGGAGAAAGUCCAGCAUUUUAAGCAGGUCACUGCGAUGCAUAGUGCCAAGCAAUGGUUUCCUAGAAAUAUCUGAACACAAAACAGUGGGAAAAUGAACCAACCAACAGUGAAAAACUCAAAUUAUUUUCCACAUAUUUGGAAAUGCUUAAACCUUUUCCCAAUUCCUUUGGCCAUUACCAUGUCAGAAGUCAGAAGUUACUGUUAAACUUCAGUGCUAAAGGGGCGUCCAGAAGUUUGCUGGAGGUCCUGAACAGAUUCCCAUGGACUUUAGCUGCUUUAGAAAGCCAAGAAAAUCACUGUUGGGUGAAAAUCAAGUGGAAAUGAAUGGGUUUUGUUAUAUGUCCCUCCUUUGCCUUACCACAACAUAGCUGUUCUUAAAUUUUCAUGGAAUAAUGACUAGUAUGUUGAACUGGCAUUUUACAAUAACCACUUUUGCAAUAACCAUUUUCACAAUGAACGUGAGAUUUCCCUUUUGCUAGAUACAACUCAGACUCAGGAAGGACUGUCCCUAUAAGAUAGUCUAUUGCUUGUGACAUUAUAUUCAUAUGGGACCUGGAAGGGUUGUGAAAGGCAUGUGACAUAGAUAUUAGCUGCCCAGGGAG
Long non-coding RNA from Columba livia (rock pigeon), 4507 nucleotides. RefSeq lists it as uncharacterized. The transcript has 3 exons. The record is from RefSeq and is a predicted model, not a curated record. Lineage: Eukaryota; Metazoa; Chordata; Aves; Columbiformes; Columbidae.